RNAcentral lists this ribosomal RNA (425 nucleotides) under uncultured bacterium. RNAcentral's name for it is "partial 16S ribosomal RNA". It matches the Rfam family "Bacterial small subunit ribosomal RNA", at positions 354 to 796 of the family's 1533-position model. The record is from RNAcentral.
GUUAGGAAUAUUGGACAAUGGGCGCAAGCCUGAUCCAGCCAUGCCGCGUGAACGAUGAAGGCCUUCGGGUUGUAAAGUUCUUUAGCCGAUGAUUAUAAUGACUGUAGUCGGAAAAUAAGCCCCGGCUAACUUCGUGCCAGCAGCCGCGGUAAUACGAAGGGGGCGAGCGUUAUUCGGAAUCACUGGGCGUAAAGCGUGCGUAGGCGGUCUCGUAAGUUAGGAGUGAAAGCCCAGGGCUCAACCUUGGAAUUGCUCUUAAAACUGCAAGGCUAGAAUCUCGGAGAGGAUAGCGGAAUUUCCAGUGUAGCAGUGAAAUGCGUAGAUAUUGGAAGGAACACCAGUGGCGUAAGCGGCUAUCUGGACGAGUAUUGACGCUGAGGCACGAAAGCGUGGGGAUCGAACAGGAUUAGAUACCCUUGUAGUCC